RNAcentral lists this long non-coding RNA (1735 nucleotides) under Gossypium barbadense (sea-island cotton). RNAcentral describes it as "long non-coding RNA (GBAR_LNC002284)". The record is from RNAcentral. Lineage: Eukaryota; Viridiplantae; Streptophyta; Magnoliopsida; Malvales; Malvaceae.
AGUGUUUGUGGUAGACUAAAUCUCUAUUGAGUGGUUGUGGACUUCGUAAAAGGGAAGGGGAUCAAAGGAUAGGAUGUUGGUUGUUUGGGAUUUGAAAGAGUUUGAAUCAAGGAAUUCGAAGCUUGGAGAGUUGUAGCCGAAUUAGGUAGCUUGUAUGUGCAAAUACGGCUAAGGGGUUUGGGGAGUGCAUGUAAGGAAACUUGAGAGUGUAUAGGUGCCGAAUUCUCUUUUUGGCAUUUCAUGAUUGUAGCGGGCCAAAUUUGCCUGACCCAUGCAAACACAAAACAAACCAAAAAAUAAACCAAAAAAAACCAUAAACAUAAAAUAAAUAAAAUUAUAACAGUCCAUUAAAUGUUUAAAGUCCAAUUACAUAGCCCAAACCCAAUUACAUAACCUAGACCUAUUUUUAAAACCUGACCCAAACUUACAAGGCCCGAUAGGCCUAUUGCUUUUAGAACAGACAGAACACUAGAGUUCUCUUUCUCUAGCACCGCAGCCGAGCCUUGGCCCUAGCCUCCGUACCCUCCAGUGCCGUACAGUCCUCCUGGCACCAUGCCCACACCCUGUACGCCAGCACAUGCUCCCGUACACAUGCCAGCGCGCACCCGUACCUGCAAGAAGACAAACGAAAAGAAUAGCAAAUGCAAACAAAAGGAAAACAUUGUAUUUUUAUUUAUUUCGUUAAUUCUUCCUCUCUUUUUUCGGCUGUAAAAAGCCAGAUUUUAAUCUUGUAAUCAGAGACAUUUACGAACGCAAGCAAUACCAAGCAACAAAAAAUAGAAAAAGAAGGUGAUCUCGAGUGCCUCUUCUUUUCAUUGGUGAAUCUAUUUCGUUCAUUUUCUUUUCUUGAUUUUGCAUGUGUUUAUUUACAUAAGGGGUAAGAAAGAGCAGCAUAUAAAAGAAACAGCCAUCGGACCAUACAAUUUCCGUCAGAACCGAGGUUGAAGAUUGGCUUCCAAGGCUAAAAUUUGGCUUAUUGAUGAGAGAUUUAGAACAACGAGGGGCUUACCGUUGUAGAUAUACCGUCGGAGUCCUAUAUCCUUCGUCGUAAUCAGAGUUUGGUAUGGGAUUUCGAAGUCAAAAUCAGUAACCACGAUUUGUGGUUUCAAAUGGUGUAAAAAAAGGGGGGUGUAUAUCCAUCACCAAUCACCAAAUACAAUGGUGUCAUGGUGAUGAAUGCAAGUUUUUUUUGGGAUAAAUCUGAUGAGAAUCGAAGGGGCCAAGGUUUCGGUUCCUUUGGCGGCCAAAUGAGGGAAUACAUGAGGGAUUUAGGGUUUGGUAAAGUAGAAAGAAAGAGGUGAAGAUUUGUCCAAACGGGUUGUUCUGUUGGGGGUUUUAAAGAAGUAAGAAACGACGUCGUUUAGGUCACCCCCUUUAUGCCCGAUCCGACCCGAUUCCUAGCUCCUGGGAUCCGCGCGUUUUCACGGUGAGGGGAUAUUUUCGACAUCGGUCCCUCUCUUUUCGCACCCCAGUUCAAUUAGCUCACACUUGUGUUUCUUUGUUUUAAAAUUGCCCCUUCAAUUUGCGUGCAUUUUCAUUUUAGUCUGCACCUGUACACAGCGUUUUGGAGUCUGGAAUAAUUCCAGUUUUGAUCCUUGUAUAUUUGUAUACAUUAUGCGCUGGCCCUUAUAUUGUAAUUUGGGUAACGAUGCUUUCAUAUUUUGUAUACUACCUCAUGUAAUUGUUUUUUUUAUUUACGCUAUUGUACAUAUAUAUUUUUACUUUUUAUUAAAGU